AAAACACAUACGGCUGCUCCCAUGGCCCUGCGAGACUCGCCUCGCCUCAUCGCCUGCUCCCCUGCGCGGUUGCUCCCUUGCUCGCCCUCAGCCUCACGCCGAUAGUGGACAGCCGACUGACAUCUCCACUGCUCAGCUGCUCCUAACCACCCACAAGCCACAAGCGGCCGAACCUCACCACCCACAGCCACAAGCGACUGAAAUCAGCCCCUGCUCGGCUGCUCCCCACCACUCACAAACGGCCCAAAUCAACUUGCUCCCCACCUCUCACAAAUGGACGAAUGAGCCAACUGGCAAGCCCACGCCAAUUACUUUCUAGCGAAUCAAUAUUCAUAUUUUUAGUGAAUUAAUAUGUAAAAGCAUAAAUUUAGUGAAAAAUCGUGCCUGGACCUUUACGAAU
RNAcentral lists this long non-coding RNA (400 nucleotides) under Citrus maxima (pomelo). Its description in RNAcentral is "long non-coding RNA (CMAX_LNC002675)". Lineage: Eukaryota; Viridiplantae; Streptophyta; Magnoliopsida; Sapindales; Rutaceae. The record is from RNAcentral.